GGGGCACUGGUCUAUAUAGGACGUUCCGCUGUUAACGGGAAGGAGAGGGUUGAAUCUCGUGCCCCU
Molecule: transfer RNA, 66 nt
Filed under: Crassadoma gigantea
Lineage: Eukaryota; Metazoa; Mollusca; Bivalvia; Pectinida; Pectinidae
Description: tRNA-Asn
Rfam family: tRNA
About the family: Transfer RNA (tRNA) molecules are approximately 80 nucleotides in length. Their secondary structure includes four short double-helical elements and three loops (D, anti-codon, and T loops).
Source: RNAcentral